RNAcentral lists this ribosomal RNA (305 nucleotides) under uncultured bacterium. RNAcentral's name for it is "bacterial SSU rRNA". It matches the Rfam family "Bacterial small subunit ribosomal RNA", at positions 336 to 658 of the family's 1533-position model. The record is from RNAcentral.
UUCCUACGGGAGGCAGCAGUGGGGAAUAUUGCACAAUGGGGGGAACCCUGAUGCAGCGACGCCGCGUGAGUGAAGAAGUAUCUCGGUACGUAAAGCUCUAUCAGCAGGGAAGAAAAUGACAGUACCUGACUAAGAAGCCCCGGCUAACUACGUGGCAGCAGCCGCGGUAAUACGUAGGGGGCAAGCGUUAUCCGGAUUUACUGGGGGUAAAGGGAGCGUAGACGGCACUGCAAGUCCGGAGUGAAAGCCCACAGCACAACUGAGGGACUGCUCUGGAGACUGUGGAGCGCGAGUGCGGGAGGGGG